GUACCUACGGGAGGCAGCAGUGGGGGAUAUUGCACAAUGGGGGAAACCCUGAUGCAGCGACGCCGCGUGUGGGAAGACGGUCUUCUGGAUUGUAAGCCACUGUCCCCAGGGACGAAAAUGACGGUACCUGGGGAGGAAGCUCCGGCUAACUACGUGCCAGCAGCCGCGGUGAUACGUAGGGAGCAAGCGUUGUCCGGAAUUACUGGGUGUAAAGGGAGCGUAGGCGGGGAUGCAAGGUGGGUGUCAAAACUACCGGCUCAAC
This 262-nucleotide ribosomal RNA is filed under the name uncultured bacterium. Its description in RNAcentral is "partial 16S ribosomal RNA". It matches the Rfam family "Bacterial small subunit ribosomal RNA", at positions 335 to 613 of the family's 1533-position model. The record is from RNAcentral.